GGGGGCGAAACGGCUUCGACGGGGAUAAAGAAGCAUUGAUUGCAUGUCGAGGUUUCCUGCUGCUCGUUAAACGCGGGAAAUAAAUAUAAUCGCAGACGAUUAUAACUACGCCGUAGCCGCUUAGGCGGCUUCCGUUCUGCCAGGUUCCUCCCGCGGACCUGAACAGAGCGUCGACUUAGCGGGAUAGUUGGUCCGGAUUGCCUGGCUCCGGUCCGGCGAACGUUACAGGCUGGCCUUAUACGGAAUCCCGUCCGGAGGAGACCGUAAAAGGCGAGAAUAAAACUCCGGAAUAAGCAUGUAGAUAUCAAUGUGGAAUGUUUUCGGACGCGGGUUCAACUCCCGCCGCCUCCACCA
Molecule: transfer-messenger RNA, 354 nt
Filed under: Desulfococcus multivorans
Lineage: Bacteria; Pseudomonadati; Thermodesulfobacteriota; Desulfobacteria; Desulfobacterales; Desulfococcaceae
Also listed under: 1 other name
Description: Standard tmRNA
Rfam family: transfer-messenger RNA
About the family: Bacterial tmRNA, also known as 10Sa RNA or SsrA, is named for its dual tRNA and mRNA-like properties.
Source: RNAcentral